UUUUCGAUGGCGGCAGUGGCCGGGAGUCCCCUGUAAGCAGGGAAGCUGACUCUUUGGCUGCUGCUUUUUGUGUGCCCAGCCCCAUUUGCCCAGUCUGCCCGCCUCUGUGAUCCCCCGCAGCACUGGCUGGAAGUCCGCCGCGUGUCAGUGAGGAGCUGCUGCAGAAGGAAGAAGAAGAAGCAGCGGCGUGGGGACCUGGGCGGCAGGAGCGAGCAAAAAGAGGAAGCGGAAGCGUGCAGAUGCGGGGG
RNAcentral lists this long non-coding RNA (248 nucleotides) under Gallus gallus (chicken). The record is from RNAcentral. Lineage: Eukaryota; Metazoa; Chordata; Aves; Galliformes; Phasianidae.